Molecule: transfer RNA, 72 nt
Filed under: [Clostridium] cellulosi
Lineage: Bacteria; Bacillati; Bacillota; Clostridia; Eubacteriales; Oscillospiraceae
Description: tRNA-Val (CAC) (tRNA-Val-CAC-2-1)
Rfam family: tRNA
About the family: Transfer RNA (tRNA) molecules are approximately 80 nucleotides in length. Their secondary structure includes four short double-helical elements and three loops (D, anti-codon, and T loops).
Source: Rfam by way of RNAcentral
GGACGCAUAGCUCAACAGGCGAGCGCUUGCUUCACACGAAAGAGGUCUUGGGUUCGAGUCCCGAUGUGUCCA